CGUCGACAGGCUUAUUUUAGCUAUUAUAAUCCGUUUGUUUCAUUCUAUUUUUCGAUGAGGUAAAUUGUAGCUCUCACGUGACCCAAUAAAUCUGGUCGGACUGCAAAAACUGCCAGGCUAAGGUGAGGCCGACCACUUUUUUUUUACUGUCCUCAAGGUCAGGUAUCCUACCAUACAAGUUUCAUUCUAUUUUUCGAUGAGGUUUUUUUUGAUGAAUUUUUGUCCAACGUUUUUGCCAUUUGUACAAAAUCUGCCAGGUUAAGCCUAGGCCGACCAAGUGCGUUGGAAUCUACUAAAUGUCAGGUACCUCUACAGGGUAGGUAUAUUCUAUUUUUUGAUGAGGUUUGUUUCAUGCAGCCGGCUCCCGGACUAUCAGCUCAACAAACGAAACAACAAAUUCGUUGGUCUGAUUGUUAGUUCAGCAGACCAUAAAAGGAAUGCGUUGGUGUUAAGGUGACCCUAUAUUAACGCUUAAGUAUUGUUUUUUAAUAGAUAGGUAAUAUAACGGCAACUUAACUUGUUGCAUUUUCUAAGUAUUGUCACAAGUAAUUUACUGAAAAUAUUGUACUUAUUUUUCCUAAUCAAGAGUUGCGCACAACGAUUUAAUAUUUCUUCUACUCACUAUUUUUGUAAAUAAUUAUUUUAUGUAUAACAAUCACUUCUAUAUACACCUUAUAAAUAAAAAUGUACAAAUG
Cydia fagiglandana is the source of this 695-nucleotide long non-coding RNA. RefSeq lists it as uncharacterized. The record is from RefSeq and is a predicted model, not a curated record. The transcript is spliced from 2 exons. Lineage: Eukaryota; Metazoa; Arthropoda; Insecta; Lepidoptera; Tortricidae.